AAAAGGGGAAAAAUGCCAGGGUUUUGAGAGGAAUGGGAGGAAAAAAUUUCCAGGGGUUUUAGAGGAAUGGGAGGGAAAAAUUUCCAGGGUUUUUAGAGGAAUGGGAGGAAAAAAUUUCCAGG
This is a long non-coding RNA of Corvus hawaiiensis (hawaiian crow), 122 nucleotides long. RefSeq lists it as uncharacterized. The transcript has 2 exons. NCBI's taxonomy places the organism in Eukaryota, Metazoa, Chordata, Aves, Passeriformes, Corvidae. The record is from RefSeq and is a predicted model, not a curated record.